UGGAAAAUCAUACUACAAAUCUACAAGAUUAGCUACAGCCAACAAAAGAUGCACUGCAAAUAUAUUUAUUUAUCUUCAUUUCUAUAGUUUCAUUCUGAUCCACAAAACAAAAACCCAAAACAAAGCACAAGCUGCGACAACAAUGCAUACAGUAAGAGGUCCAGAAGGGUUUAGAGACCUUGGCUGUCUUUAGCUAAAUGAAUAUAUACAUUUAUCCAAGUGCUUAUUUUAUUGAACUACAUUACAACUUCCUAGAGAAGUUGCAUUGGAAAAGAUUCUGCUAAUCAAGGUCUCUUAGCUAAAAGAUGACCAACUCUUGGUUCAUUUCACAGUAUGGUGUAACAUGACAGAUCAUUCGCGUGGUGAAGAACUCUUUUUAAUCAACGCAUAUGCAUCACUAUAGAUGGCCACCAAAUUUGAGAACACGGCAAGGACAACCAUGAAAAUACAUAAGAUUUUGUCCUUCUUUGUUGCUAUAUUGUGGCGAUCCCUGCAAUGCAAAGGUAAAACACAUGUAGAUCAGCAAUUAUUGAUUCAGCUAAAAUCAAACCACAAUGGACAAUUUUGGCCCUUGCAACAACAAUUCAAUAUCAUUGGCUCAAGGUCAUGCAGCCUACGAUAAAUUCUUACUGACAAGGUCUUAAAAAUCCAGUGUUACAGAUUACUUCUAUCAUGGGCUCAAGUUGAAAUAAGGAUAUUGAAUCAAAGUUUAACAUCAGACCCAUAUUUCCAGUUACACAACAAAUUUUCAAACUUAAAAGAAAAUAAAGAACCACGAAAUAUGACAAACAAGAUUUUAAGUCCUCAUGUCUAAUAUUUCAUUUACCUCAAAAUAUUCCAUUAAAAGGAUCAUAGGGUUUGUGUGGCCAGCAUAACUCUUGUUCAUACCAAACAGUACUCAAGUGUAACCAAAUUUUGAUUAAAAAAAAAGAAGAAAAAAAAGGAUAAGAUUGAUGUGAUUGCAAAUACUGUUAAUAAAAUUAACCAAAAAUAAAAGAAAAUAAAACUACUGGUUUUCAUCCUCAGUUCUAUACCAGUUCAGAAAAUGAUAGCAAUCUCUCUUUUUUGUUUUGUUGAAUCAUAUCAAUCAAAAUGGAGCUUUGAAGUAUUAAAGUGACAAAUAUUAUAUAAAAAUUCAAUCUACAAAUUAAAAUCAUAUGCACAAUACAAAAUGAUUAUUCAGCUUAUAGUUGCAAGAAAAGUAGUGAUUUUGAAAACAAAGACACUCGAUCACAAAUAUGAACUCACCUUUAGGAUUAUUAACACACUGGCACCACCAUAGAGACUAUGAAUUAUAUGUGGUUGGCCAGUAGAUAGCAACUUAAAGUUAUUUGGCACAGCAGCAUAAGGAAGCAUUCGGAAGUCUUCAAACAAUUGAAAAUAUAAGACAAUUCUCUAUGUGGCAAUACACAUUCAGUGGGAUUAGUCCAUUAUUUUCUGUUCUAUACUUAGUUUAUUUUACAUCACAUGAAAUUACAAGCCAAUUACUUACUCUUAUUUCAAAAUGUAGAAGACCUAUGAACUUUUUUUAGGUACAUAGUAUUGCUUAAUCAACCAUAAAUACCCAGCCUAAAUGGUCCUUAUGCAAAGUACAACAUGCCAAUCAAAUUAAGCAUUGAAACAAAUAUAUCAAAAAAGAGGACAAAAGUGAACACUUGCUAUAAAGUAAUUAAGUUGUAAAAGUACCUAAGAGUGAUGGAAGCAGGAAAAAUGAAUCCAAGGCAAACAGCAGCAGUUGCUCCAGUGAAUUGGAAUGCAUCCCAGAUGCUUGGAAUGAAAUUAGCACCCAAGAAGAUCAGAGCAAUUAGUCCAAUGGUGAUUGAUGCAAAUCUCAUAUUUUCCUGAUAAAGAGGCCGUGCUAAGGGAAAUAGGAGGCCGUCCAAGUUGAGUCGCAAGGGAUAGAAGACAAUUGGGAAUACAAGCAUGAGAUGAGCAGCAUAACUAACGCGAACAGCAUCAUUAAGCAGGGAACUGUAAGGAAUGCCGAGGUCAGUAUCAAAGUUGGCAAGCACAUCAUCAAGAGUUCCAUCACCAAAUAGAAGGAAUCCAAAAAUGCUGGUCAUUAUGUACACAGUUGAGCAUAAAGCAAGUGAUGUUCGCACAACUGCUUUUAUCUGAGUGGAGUCCUCAAGUUCAUUAUCUAUGCUGUGAACAUUGUAGUGGCAGAUGUAUGCAGUGACAAGAACAGGGACUGCAGUGAAGAGUUUCCAGAAUGAUGUCAAAUCUGUAACAUUGGGUAGCAAUCUGGGCAUCAUUAUGCUUCCAUUUAUCAACUUGACAGUAGUGAUUCCCACAGUGAUGACGAGAAACACAACUGCCAGAGCAACUGAUAAGGCAGAUGUGAAUCUUAAAGAAUCAAUUCGUUUAAAGCAAGCAAGUGGAGAAAAUAUAGCAAGUGUUGUGACAAGAAGGAUAAAGAAUCGUCCAGUCCACCAGCGUUCACCAAACCACCCUUCAAGCACACCAGCAUGGUGAAGUCCACUUGAAGAUGUUCCAGACAGCACAUCCCCAAUGAUAAUCAUGUACACAAUGAGUAUACCAACGUUGUUGAUUAAAACAGCAACUUGCAACAAUAUUCUCCCAUACUUUCCAAAGGCAUCACCCAUAAGUCCUCCAUAAGAAGCAUUCUUCCCUGCCCUGCUAAACCUAAGUAGCAACUCAAUUGAAGCCUCUGUCAAGAAGGCCAUAAAGAUGAUCAUAGCAACCCCAAGGCCAAGGCCUAACACUUUCAUGGUAGCAGGCAGUGCCAUGAUUCCAGCACCAACUACGGUAGUUGAUAAAUUGAACACUGCUCCAGUAAAGGAAGCUCCAUCAAACUCAUCAAAACCAGCAUCCUCCUCUUUACUUUUGGGCAACAAGGGAGCAUUCUCAUUAACUGGUUUGCUCUUCCUCGACUUUCUCUCCUUUUUGGGAGCUUGAUUUCCAAUUGUCAUCUUUUUAAUGUCUCGAAAACUUCUCCAAAUACAGAUAUGAAACUUUAUACAAAAUCUAUAAAGCAGCUAACUUCGUAUUCUGUACAACCAGAAUAUCCGUAAUUCAUAAAAACUCAACUUCACAAUUCUACAAUUAUUGAGUUGGAAGAUGAAAUUCAAGUAAAUUAUAAACUAAAUAGUACUAACCUGUAAAAGCGGAUAGAAACCAAAUUGGAACUCUCUUAAUUUUUAUUUUAAAUGAUAAGCUUCUUAAUCUUAUUAAUCCUAACAGCCCAAACAACAAAAUUUGAAAACCAACUUAUCGAUACUCUGUUUAAAAUGAUAAAAUAUGAAAUAAGCUAAUAUAAAACCCAGAUGAGAAAGCCUAUAAAUCAACUAAAUCUUCAUAGAGACAACUGAUCACAAAUAAUUUACAACAAAAAAACUGGGAUAUCAAGAUUAAAAAGAAGAAGAAAAUCAAGCAAAGUCCCCUAAUACUUGUGCUUGUGACCCAAUAUUAUAAUAUCGAACCAAUCAAUUUCAAGGAAAAAGCUUCAAUAAUUAAAGACCCAGAUAGGGAGAAAUGAAGAUCGAGAUGGAAGGAAGAAGAAUUGACAGAAACCCAAGAACCAGGAACAAAGAAAAGUAACAAAGAGAUCGGCGUUCUAGCUCUCAAUUCUUGACGUUUAGCUUAUAAUUUACAAACAACCAAAAGAAAAAAGCCAUACGCAACGACAAAGAGUCUUAAUGGAGACACGUUUGUAAGGAUGGUCUACGGUCUACAGUCUACUGAUACAAACGCAUUGACCAGAAUGGCAAAAUUCUGUAAAAUCCACACCCGAAUAAUGAUGGUCACAGAGACCUCAGGGAUUUUAUCUGGUGGAAUUACUGUUUGGUCGGUGGUUCAAAAUGAAAGAAUAUUUAAAAAAAAAAAAGUGAUUUAAUCGAAGCAAUGACAACCAAUGAUGAUUUCUCCAUGAAUUUUGCUUGGUGUUCAUGAUUCUGCAUUGAAAACUUUCCUCCAUUUAGCAUUCAGAAAAAGAAAAGGAGGGUACAGUUCUGUCUGUCUGUCUUUCUUUGUUCUUU
RNAcentral lists this unclassified non-coding RNA (3998 nucleotides) under Hevea brasiliensis (rubber tree). Lineage: Eukaryota; Viridiplantae; Streptophyta; Magnoliopsida; Malpighiales; Euphorbiaceae. The record is from RNAcentral.